Molecule: long non-coding RNA, 3970 nt
Organism: Daphnia magna
Lineage: Eukaryota; Metazoa; Arthropoda; Branchiopoda; Diplostraca; Daphniidae
Exons: 16
Source: RefSeq, a predicted model, not a curated record
UGGCACAGUUUUAAGCGGGGAAGCCCUACUGCGUUUGCCCACCUCUCCUGGUACAUCGUGGUUCCAUCCUGGUUUGUGGUUCCAUCACAAUUCCAUUUUUAAAAAAUGUUUUUCAAUGAUAACCAACUGCUUUAUUUGGCUAUUUUUUUUCCCAAGUCGUGAAUUUAAUAUGCACCAUUUCUUCAACCAAACUAAAAAUCGACCUCAGUUGGCAACAUCGUGAUUAAGCUUACGAAUAAAAUUUGAAGCAAAGAUUCUGGUUCAGACACGUGUCUACUGCUGUACCAAAGUGUUUCGAUAGCUCAAGUUUAAUGGAAGACAUUUUUGGGAGGCGUAUCCGAAAGAAUGUUUAAACUGUAGAUCAGCUAAAGAAGUAGAUGUAAGAAAAGAAAUGGCUGAGAAAAGGAAAUUUUAGCUGUAAGGACUGUACAAUACUGCAGAGGUUCCUGUUAAUAAUCUACUUCAUGUUUUCAUUGUUUUUGGGAGCGUGGGAAAUGUGAUAUUUGUCACACACUCAAACAGACGAAUGAUAACAAGAACAUGGAGGAGUAGAGUGUUAUUUGUGCUGGAGCAGAUAAAGAAAUUAAAGUUGGGCAUCAAAAACUAGGCUUUACUUCAUGCACAAUGUGAUUUGGUUACCAGCUGUGCAGAACAGACUCAGUCCAUCCUCAAAAAGCCUAAGAUUAAAAUGGACUGGAAUUCCCAGAUGGCCCAUUCAUUUUAAAGAGUAACUGGGUUCUCCAGAUCUGACCAGAACGUUGAUUACCGACCUAGCGUGGGGAACAAGAAAUUAACGUUUCGUCGAUCAUCCGUGAAUCGCAGACUUUUCCCCUGUGGAGAAGUCAAGGUUCCGCAAUGUUCCCUGUACAUUGCAAUUUUUCAUCCAAACCUGUUCCAUUCACAUCAGCCUGCUGAGUGUAAAAGACAACUUUGUGGUUGAAAACUAAAUAAGUUUGAAAAUUUACACUGAACACUCUGUGCAGUUUUUAAGUGAAACUUUGAUUAUUGCUACGGCUUUGGUGUGAUGUGUUCCAUGAAUUGCGCAGGCGUCGCAAAUUAGCCGUGGUCAAUGGAUGAUUGGGUGACAGGUGAAGUGCCUUCAGCUAACCAUGGGAACGAGAGCGACGGCUCUACGGAAGUAAACCUCGGCUUCAACAUUCCGACUGGCGUCGUGCAGAGCGUGAGCGGCAGCCACGGUCCACGCAAUGCUGUCAGGUUCGAUUCGAACGACCUGGAUGUACACCUCUGCGGCUUCGUCGUGUCUCUUCCGGGCAGAUAGGAAUUCGCCUGUCAAAUUACAUGACGGCGGAUUGAUUUCUAUGCCGGAUCGGUACAGGUGUUCCUCGUCGAUCCAGUCGUUGUUCCUUUGGAUCGUUCGCCGUCCCGAAGCCAAUAAAACAAUCAGCAACGCAAAGCAGAUGAUUGUUCGAUUCGACUGCUGGACAAGUAAUUUUUGCACCCCGAUUCCGACGAGGAGACAGAAACCGACCGAAGUCUUACGGACGACCGUGACGAGAAUUGCGUAGAAAAUUAGCGUAGCCAUAUUGCGGAUGUCAUUAAUGCAAGUGACGGGCUGGAUGGCGUCCAUGGACCAAUCGAAACUGAGCCAUCGCGGAUACAGCAACAGACCAAAAUGAAAUACCUAAGCUACUGGUAAAUAGAGAAAUGUGAGGGUACGAGUUGUCCAUGACGACGAUGCAGCUGUUGGAUUGUCCGCCUUAGCAAAUUGCGGUCUCUGGAAGCCGGAUAUCCAAAAGCGAUUGUCGAGGAUGGCCGUGAAUGACGAGGACGACGUCGUAAAGGAGACAGAUGGGCGUCAACAUGAUGCCGUACUCUUUGCUGAAGAAAGCGGCACAAGUCAAAACCAACGUCAUCGUUAAACUAGCCCGUCUACCGUAGUUGACAAGGCCGGCUAGGACGAAGAAAGUGCAUAGCAAAUCUGCCCGUCCGACCAAUCCAGCCACAGCUUCGCAAUGGAUCGGGAAUAAUGUUGAUGCUCCUCCGGCUAUCAUGGUCACCGCAGCAGUAAUCACACAGUGAAGCAGGACGUUUGUCCAAUGGUACCAAUAGGCAUGAUUUACUCCGACCAGAUGUGCGGUCCAGCGAAAUGAUAGCGUUACCAAAGGGCGGUACGAUCCGUGCGAUUCGGAAGCGUUGAGCGGAGUGCCCCAAAAGUCAUGCACCAUCAGAGCGCUCAUGGUGGACGACUCGGAAGCAACGGUUUAUGGUUGUCUAAUAAAACGAAAAAGGAGCGGCCGUGGCAGUGAUACUGUGAUGAGCAUUUAGAUGAUAUCAGUUAAACGGCCGUACAAAAUACGCAACGGAAGGCCACAGUCGAAGAAUGCUCUAUGGCUAGCGGAAUAAAAAUAUUUCCACUUGAAUAUAUCAUAGCCGGCAGCGGAAAAAAAAAAUGGCUCGUGUGGAGAAUUGUUGUUGCUGGCAUUCGAUUGAGACUAAUCAAAAGGUAUGCCCCAGGCUGUGAUGAUCGUCCUAUCACGUCGCCUGAACGAACCCUGCAGGCAGUUUCCCGUCAACGCCGUUGAGUGACGAGGUUUGAUUUCCUCUUUGUCAAAUAAGAGUCUGGCAAUCGUCGCCGCUGCAGGCCGAUCUAUUAUGUCCAUCUAGCCACUUUGUCCUUGUUAUUAUUGCAUUUAAAAAAAAAAUAGCUUUUUCUAUCAAAAUCGAUCUAGACAGGUUUUUGUUGAUCCUAGACGGUACAGAUACCAUUUGGUACAGUUUCGUGUUUUGCGUUAGGUCGCUAGGGUUUGCUUUUAGAUUGUGUUGAUAUUACGCAUAGGGGAGGCCUACCAUGAUAGCAAGUUAGUGCAAGUUCGAUUCACAUUUUCAUUUUGUUGAUGGAAUGGAUGAAAAUGGAUUACAUACUGAUCGAUUUUCACCCAUCCGUGCUAAUAUCUUAGCUGAGUGCGGAAAGUUUUGUCAUCGACCAUCCAUGUCCAGCACAAUUCAAUUGAAUUUGUUUGAUGAAGAAUUAUUGUUGCUCCACAUAGUUCCAAAAUGCUUUUAAACUUCAAACGUCGAUAAAGUCAUGGCGAACAUUUUUGAGGUGACGAUGCGGCUCUGAAUGAACGCUUUUAGAGCACACACAAAAAACUAAAAGCAAUUGAAUAGAAGGGGAGAUUUGCCUCGUGUCUCUAAAACGGAAGAAGGGAAGUUGAAUUUUGUCUAUUGGGAGUAGGUGAUUGGCAUAUUCGCCUGCAAUCGGAACUUGAAUUUUCUCGUAACAGGCAAUCGGGAGCUACAUUUGAAAUCGAUUUCUACGAGAAGAGCUAAUCAUCGCUCCCCCCAUUUUCAAGUGAAAAGUCUCCAAUAACUAGUCAGUUGGUAUCCUGUAUACAUGUUACAUGCACAGUUGUUAAUACGUGCAAUAAUGGCAUCUAUGCAGGAAAUGUACAGCGGGAGCGGUGUGGUAACUAGCUGCAUAAGUCACAACCCUCUGGAACGUUAUGUACAUGUAAAGCUUGCAUUAAAUUGUAAUCUUAGUAACGAGGGGGAACAAUGAAAAGUUUUGUCGCUUCUCGAAAACAAAAAAAAAAGAGGGGAUUUAGUUCUUUAUGUCAAAAUAGUGGCCACGGGAAAAGAGAGGCGCUAAAUUCUGUUUGUUUGUCGCUGAGACCUACGACGAAUUCGCUAAUAUAAUUAUGAUUUAAAUUUUUGAAAAGGAUAGAAUUUCGUGGGAAAGCCCUGUUGGCCGCCAAAUUCGGUGACAUCUAGGGGAGAAGCCACCAACUCCUUAAAAGUUGCAUUGGCAUGUCAUUCACUGUCGCCUGCCGUUGACUGAGGAUGGUUGUCAAAAUGGAUGUCGCCUUCAUUGAAAUUUAUCAUCUACCGAUUCUGUUUGUCUUGAGGUCUCCCCGAUGUACCUGACUGUGUUGGCCAUGUGAUCACCCUGUGCCAGAAACGACUACAACUAUUUUUAUAUUGUAGUGUAAAUAAAAUAUAUCCACAACAA